RNAcentral lists this ribosomal RNA (503 nucleotides) under Cryptosporidium xiaoi. RNAcentral describes it as "SSU rRNA". It matches the Rfam family "Eukaryotic small subunit ribosomal RNA", at positions 370 to 911 of the family's 1831-position model. Lineage: Eukaryota; Apicomplexa; Conoidasida; Eucoccidiorida; Cryptosporidiidae. The record is from RNAcentral.
UUAGGGUUCGAUUCCGGAGAGGGAGCCUGAGAAACGGCUACCACAUCUAAGGAAGGCAGCAGGCGCGCAAAUUACCCAAUCCUAAUACAGGGAGGUAGUGACAAGAAAUAACAAUACAGAACCUUACGGUUUUGUAAUUGGAAUGAGUUAAGUAUAAACCCCUUAACAAGUAUCAAUUGGAGGGCAAGUCUGGUGCCAGCAGCCGCGGUAAUUCCAGCUCCAAUAGCGUAUAUUAAAGUUGUUGCAGUUAAAAAGCUCGUAGUUAAUCUUCUGUUAAUUUUUAUAUAUAAUAUCUCGAUAUUUAUAUAAUAUUAACAUAAUUCAUAUUACUUUUUAGUAUAUGAAACUUUACUUUGAGAAAAUUAGAGUGCUUAAAGCAGGCUAUUGCCUUGAAUACUCCAGCAUGGAAUAAUAUUAAGGAUUUUUAUUCUUCUUAUUGGUUCUAGAAUAAAAAUGAUGAUUAAUAGGAACAGUUGGGGGCAUUUGUAUUUAACAGUCAGAGG